AAUGAAGUGCCUGAAAAAGGGUUAUCUUGAUAGGAUAAAUAAUGUAAAAACCUUACCUUCAUUA
Molecule: transfer RNA, 64 nt
Filed under: Tagasta indica
Lineage: Eukaryota; Metazoa; Arthropoda; Insecta; Orthoptera; Pyrgomorphidae
Description: tRNA-Ile
Source: RNAcentral